AGUGGAUGGGGAGCAACCUAGUUGUGCGUGUGUAAAGGUAGUGCCAAGAAAAGCGAUGAUCAUGUUGAAAAUCAAUUCCCGGUACCCGAAACCGACACAGGUGGGCAAGUAGAGAAUACUAAGGGGCGCGAGGUAACUCUCUCCAAGGAACUCGGCAAAAUGACACCGUAACUUAGGGAGAAGGGGUGCCACCGAGAGGUGGUCGCAGUGAAGAGGCCCAGGCGACUGUUUAGCAAAAACAUAGGUCUCUGCAAACUCGAAAGAGGAGGUAUAGGGGCUGACGCCUGCCCAGUGCCGGAAGGUUAAAGAAGUUGGUCAGUUUUAGGAUGAAGCUAGCGACUGAAGCCCCGGUGAACGGCGGCCGUAACUAUAACGGUCCUAAGGUAGCGAAAUUCCUUGUCGGGUAAGUUCCGACCCGCACGAAAGGCGUAACGAUCUGGGCGCUGUCUCGGAGAGAGGCUCGGCGAAAUAGGAUUGUCUGUGAAGGUACGGACUACCUGCAUUUGGACAGAAAGACCCUAUGAAGCUUUACUAUAGCUUGGAAUUGUGUUCGGGCUUCCUGUGCGCAGGAUAGGUGGGAGGCGAAGAAGGUAUUCUUGUGGGGAUACUGGAGCCAACGGUGAGAUACCACUCUCAGGAGGCGAGAAUUCUAACUUAAUUAAGGACAGUUUCAGGUGGGUAGUUUGACUGGGGCGGUCGCCUCCAAAAAGGUAACGGAGGCGUACAAAGGUUCCCUCAGACUGGUUGGAAAUCAGUCGCAGAGUGCAAAGGCAGAAGGGAGCUUGACUGCGAGAAGUACAGUUCGAGCAGGGUGGAAACACGGUCUUAGUGAUCCGACGGUGCUGUGUGGAAGGGCCGUCGCUCAACGGAUAAAAGUUACUCUAGGAUAACAGGCUGAUCUCCCCCAAGAGUUCACAUCGACGGGGAUGUUUGGCACCUCGAUGUCGGCUCAUCGCAACCUGGGGCGGAAGUACGUCCCAAGGGUUGGGCUGUUCGCCCAUUAAAGCGGUACGUGAGCUGGGUUCAGAACGUCGUGAGACAGUUCGGUCCAUAUCCGAUGUAGGCGUGAGAAUAUUGAGAGGAGCCUUCCUUAGUACGAGAGGACCGGGAAGGACGCACCGCUGGUGUACCUGUUAUGAUGCCAAUUGUAAACGCAGGGUAGCCAAGUGCGGAGAGGAUAACCGCUGAAAGCAUCUAAGUGGGAAGCCCACCUCAAGAUGAGUAUUCUGGUGUAAGGUCACGGGAAGACGACCCGUAAAUAGGCACGAGGUGGAAGUGCAGAGAUGUAUGAAGCCGAAGUGUACUAAUAGACCGUCGGCUUGACC
Molecule: ribosomal RNA, 1325 nt
Filed under: metagenome
Description: bacterial LSU rRNA
Rfam family: Bacterial large subunit ribosomal RNA
Source: RNAcentral